RNAcentral lists this ribosomal RNA (274 nucleotides) under uncultured bacterium. RNAcentral's name for it is "partial 16S ribosomal RNA". It matches the Rfam family "Bacterial small subunit ribosomal RNA", at positions 523 to 796 of the family's 1533-position model. The record is from RNAcentral.
AUACGGAGGGGGCUAGCGUUGUUCGGAAUUACUGGGCGUAAAGCGCGCGUAGGCGGAUUGGUCAGUUGGGGGUGAAAUCCCGGGGCUCAACCCCGGAACUGCCUUCAAAACUGGCCGACUGGAGUCCGGGAGAGGAGAGUGGAAUUCCCAGUGUAGAGGUGAAAUUCGUAGAUAUUGGGAAGAACACCAGUGGCGAAGGCGGCUCUCUGGUCCGGAACUGACGCUGAGGCGCGAAAGCGUGGGGAGCAAACAGGAUUAGAUACCCCAGUAGUCC